GUAGGGAAUAUUGGACAAUGGGGGGAACCCUGAUCCAGCCAUGCCGCGUGGAGGAAGACUGCCCUCUGGGUUGUAAAUAUCUUUUAUCUGGGAAGAAACUCCUCUAUUCUUAGAGGCCUGACGGUACCAGAGGAAUAAGCACCGGCUAACUCCGUGCCAGCAGCCGCGGUAAUACGGAGGGUGCAAGCGUUAUCCGGAUUCACUGGGUUUAAAGGGUGCGUAGGCGGGUUGAUAAGUCAGUGGUGAAAGCUCCGGGCUUAACUUGGAAACUGCCAUUGAUACUGUCAAUCUUGAAUGUCGUAGAGGUAAGCGGAAUGUUGCAUGUAGCGGUGAAAUGCUUAGAUAUGUUACAGAACACCAAUUGCGAAGGCAGCUUACUAUGCGAUAAUUGACGCUGAGGCACGAAAGCGUGGGGAGCAAACAGGAUUAGAUACCCUAGUAGUCC
This 445-nucleotide ribosomal RNA is filed under the name uncultured bacterium. RNAcentral describes it as "partial 16S ribosomal RNA". It matches the Rfam family "Bacterial small subunit ribosomal RNA", at positions 354 to 796 of the family's 1533-position model. The record is from RNAcentral.